This 1371-nucleotide ribosomal RNA is filed under the name uncultured bacterium. RNAcentral describes it as "partial 16S ribosomal RNA". It matches the Rfam family "Bacterial small subunit ribosomal RNA", at positions 28 to 1381 of the family's 1533-position model. The record is from RNAcentral.
GACGAACGCUGGCGGCGUGCUUAACACAUGCAAGUGGAACGACGAACCGCGCUUCUGCCCGGGAGCAAUCCUCGAACAGGGGAGUAACACGUGGGUAACCCGCCCCAAAGACCGGGACAUACCCGAGGAAACUCGCGGCUAAUACCGGAUGUGUUCACCGUCCACGAGGAGAGUGACAAAAUGAUGCUUCUGCCUCCGCUUUGGGAUGAGCCCGCGGCCCAUUAGCUUGUUGGCGAGGUAACGGAUCACCUGGGCUUCGAUGGAUAGCUGGACUGAUAGGACCAUCACCCACACUGGGACUGAAACCCUGCCCAAACUCCUACGGGAGGCAACUGUGGGGAAUCUUGCACCCUGAUCCACACUGGGACGCAGCGACACCACGGGCGGGAAGAAGGCUUUCGGGUCGUACACCCCUUUCAGGAUGGAGGAAACUUCCGCUUCGAAUAGCUGUCCCGAGUGAAAGUACUUCCAUAAAAAUCCGCGGCUAACUACGUGCCAACAGCCACGGUAAUACCUCUGGUGCAAACGUUGGCCGGAAUCAUUGGGGGUAAAGAGCGCGUAAGCCGCCUGAUAAAUCCCGUGUGAUAGUCACAGGCUCGACCUGUGAAUGGCGCUGGAUACUGUCUGGCUAGAGUCCGGUAAGGGCCAGUGGAAUUCCUGGUGUAGCGGUGAAAUGCCCAAAUAUCCUGAAGAACUCCCAUGGCCAAAGCCGCUCUCUGGAACUGUUCUGACCCUUAAGAUCCAAAGCGUGGGGAGCGAACAGGAUUAAAUUCCCUGGUAAUCCCCCCCCUAAACCAAGGUCACUAAGUGUAUGAGGUGUCUACUCCUCCUGUGCCGAAGCUAACGCAUUAAGUACCCCGCCUGGGGAGUACGGCCGCAAGGCUAAAACUCAAAUGAAUUGACGGGGACCCGCACAAGCAGCGGAGCAUGUGGUUCAAUUCGACGCAACGCGAAGAACCUUACCUGGGCUUGACAUGUCGGAGACUCCCGUGGAAACACGGUCUCCCUUCCGGGCACCGUCACAGGUGGUGCAUGUGCUGUGCCUCCCUCUCGCCUCGAGGUGUUGUGUUAAAUCCCGCAACGAGCGCACCCCCUGUCUCAUGUUGCCACCGAGUAAUGUCGCGGACUCAUGGGAGACUGCCGGUGACACACCGGAGGAGAGUGGGGACAACAUCUAGUCAUCUUGCCCCUUAUGCCAACAGCUACACACGUGCUAUAUUGUGCGCUACAGAGGGUUGCGAUACCGCGAGGUGUAACGAAUCUCUUAAAAGCGGUCUCGGUUCGGGAUGGAGGUUGAAACUCCCCUCCCAGAAGGUGGAGAUGGUAGUUAUUGCCGAUCAGCAACGCCGCGGUGAAUACGUUCCCGGGUCU